RNAcentral lists this ribosomal RNA (500 nucleotides) under uncultured Glomeromycotina. RNAcentral describes it as "partial small subunit ribosomal RNA". It matches the Rfam family "Eukaryotic small subunit ribosomal RNA", at positions 591 to 1092 of the family's 1831-position model. Lineage: Eukaryota; Fungi; Glomeromycota. The record is from RNAcentral.
CCAAUAGCGUAUAUUAAAGUUGUUGCAGUUAAAAAGCUCGUAGUUGAAUUUCGGGGUUAGUAGAUUGGUCAUGCCUCCGGUAUGCACUGGUCUUACUGAUUCCUCCUUCCUGAUGAACCGUAAUGCCAUUAAUUUGGUGUUGCGGGGAAACUGGACUGUUACUUUGAAAAAAUUAGAGUGUUUAAAGCAGGCUAACGCUUGAAUACAUUAGCAUGGAAUAAUGAAAUAGGACGUUCGAUCUUAUUUUGUUGGUUUCUAGGAUUGACGUAAUGAUUAAUAGUGAUAGUUGGGGGCAUUAGUAUUCAAUUGUCAGAGGUGAAAUUCUUGGAUUUAUUGAAGACUAACUACUGCGAAAGCAUUUGCCAAGGAUGUUUUCAUUAAUCAAGAACGAAAGUUAGGGGAUCGAAGACGAUCAGAUACCGUCGUAGUCUUAACCAUAAACUAUGCCGACUAGGGAUCGGAUGAUGUUAAUUUUUUAAUGACUCAUUCGGCGCCUUACG